CAAUGUUAAAUCCUACAAUGAAUUUGGGAGGUCCUCAUAUUUGGUAUUCAAAUAUUUAUAAGGCUUUAGAUCUUUCAAACGAGGAAGUUGCUACACUUGCAGAUGCAAAAGCAUCAAUUAAAAUUAAUGCUCAAACAGUUUAUAAUGCUUAUCAACUUGCCUUAGAGCAUGCUAGGCCAAAUAUUCCAACCCUACUUUAUCUAGCUCACAAUCGUCUAA
This 219-nucleotide long non-coding RNA is filed under the name Nicotiana benthamiana. Its description in RNAcentral is "long non-coding RNA (NBEN_LNC013823)". The record is from RNAcentral. Lineage: Eukaryota; Viridiplantae; Streptophyta; Magnoliopsida; Solanales; Solanaceae.